GAUGGAGGGGGAUAACUACUGGAAACGGUAGCUAAUACCGCAUAACGUCGCAAGACCAAAGUGGGGGACCUUCGGGCCUCAUGCCAUCAGAUGUGCCCAGAUGGGAUUAGCUAGUAGGUGGGGUAAUGGCUCACCUAGGCGACGAUCCCUAGCUGGUCUGAGAGGAUGACCAGCCACACUGGAACUGAGACACGGUCCAGACUCCUACGGGAGGCAGCAGUGGGGAAUAUUGCACAAUGGGCGCAAGCCUGAUGCAGCCAUGCCGCGUGUAUGAAGAAGGCCUUCGGGUUGUAAAGUACUUUCAGCGAGGAGGAAGGCGUUAAGGUUAAUAACCUUGGCGAUUGACGUUACUCGCAGAAGAAGCACCGGCUAACUCCGUGCCAGCAGCCGCGGUAAUACGGAGGGUGCAAGCGUUAAUCGGAAUUACUGGGCGUAAAGCGCACGCAGGCGGUCUGUCAAGUCGGAUGUGAAAUCCCCGGGCUCAACCUGGGAACUGCAUUCGAAACUGGCAGGCUAGAGUCUUGUAGAGGGGGGUAGAAUUCCAGGUGUAGCGGUGAAAUGCGUAGAGAUCUGGAGGAAUACCGGUGGCGAAGGCGGCCCCCUGGACAAAGACUGACGCUCAGGUGCGAAAGCGUGGGGAGCAAACAGGA
Molecule: ribosomal RNA, 650 nt
Filed under: Klebsiella aerogenes
Lineage: Bacteria; Pseudomonadati; Pseudomonadota; Gammaproteobacteria; Enterobacterales; Enterobacteriaceae
Description: bacterial SSU rRNA
Rfam family: Bacterial small subunit ribosomal RNA
Source: RNAcentral